CCCAAACGAAGGUUUUGGCCCUCCGUCGAAGGUUUGGCAAGCUAGCCGACAUCCACAGGUUGGGAAGGGCAAAGCAACCGAUGAAGGCUUGACGAGCUAACCAACGUCCACAGGUCAAGACAACCCAAGCAGAGGUUCCGACCCUCGUGCCAAAGACUUUGUGAGCUAGCCGAUCUCUCCAUGUCGGGAUGGCCCAAGUGAAGGUUUCAGUCCUCGCAUCGAAGGCUUGAUGAGCUAAUCGACUCCUACAGGUCGAGAUAGCCAGAGCGUUAGUUUUGGUCCUCGCGCCGAAGACUUGACGAGCUAACCAACCCUUACAAGUCGAGAUAGCACAAGAGGAGGUUCUAGCCCUCAUACCGAAAGCUCGACAAGCUGACCGACUCCUACAGGUCGGGACAACCCAAGCAGAAGUUCUAGCCCUCACGUCGAAGACUUGGCGAGCUAACUGAUCUCUCUAGACCGAGAUGACCCAAAUGGAGGUUUCAGCUCUCGUGUCGAAGACUUGGCGAGCUAAUUAACUCUCUAGAUCAAAACGACCCAAGUGGAGGUUCCAGCCUUUGCACUGAAGCUUUGGCGAGCUAACCGACCUCUUUAGCUCGAGAUGGCCUAAGUAGAGAUACCGGCUUCCGAGCCAAGGACUUGGUGAGCAAAUCGACUUCCUCAGAUUGGGACAAUUCGGAAGAUCCAAGCUCUCCACCUC
RNAcentral lists this long non-coding RNA (700 nucleotides) under Phoenix dactylifera (date palm). Its description in RNAcentral is "long non-coding RNA (PDAC_LNC019077)". Lineage: Eukaryota; Viridiplantae; Streptophyta; Magnoliopsida; Arecales; Arecaceae. The record is from RNAcentral.